GACAGAGGUGCCAAGCGUUAGGCGGAAUCACUGGGCUUAAAGCGUGUGUAGGCGGGUCGUUAAGUACCUUGUGAAAUCCCCCGGCUCAACCGGGGAACGGCUGGGUAUACUGGCGAUCUUGAGCGACCUAGGGGCAGUCGGAACAAGUGGUGGAGCGGUGAAAUGCGUAGAUAUCACUUGGAACGCCAACGGCGAAAGCAGGCAGCUGGGGAUGCACCGACGCUGAGACACGAAAGCCAGGGGAGCGAACGGG
This 253-nucleotide ribosomal RNA is filed under the name uncultured bacterium. RNAcentral describes it as "partial 16S ribosomal RNA". It matches the Rfam family "Bacterial small subunit ribosomal RNA", at positions 524 to 776 of the family's 1533-position model. The record is from RNAcentral.